Molecule: small nuclear RNA, 107 nt
Organism: Equus asinus (donkey)
Lineage: Eukaryota; Metazoa; Chordata; Mammalia; Perissodactyla; Equidae
Source: Ensembl
GUGCUCGCUGCAGCAGCACAUAUACUAAAAUUGGAAAGAUACAGAGAAGAUUGGCACAGGCCCUGUGUGAGGAUGACACACAAAUUCAUGAAGCAUUCCGUAUUUUU